Non-coding RNA from Zopfochytrium polystomum, 82 nucleotides. Lineage: Eukaryota; Fungi; Chytridiomycota; Chytridiomycetes; Chytridiales; Chytridiaceae. The record is from the annotation of a GenBank genome assembly.
GACAACGUGGCCAAGUGGUUAAGGCAACAGACUCGAAAUCUGAUACUCUUUGGGUGCGCAGGCUCGAGUCCUCCUGUUGUUG